RNAcentral lists this long non-coding RNA (1358 nucleotides) under Mus spicilegus (steppe mouse). Its description in RNAcentral is "lncRNA (ENSMSIG00000016383.1)". The record is from RNAcentral. Lineage: Eukaryota; Metazoa; Chordata; Mammalia; Rodentia; Muridae.
GCGGUUUUUUCCGAGCGACCGUUAUCACGUGACGCAAUGGAGCAGGGUUGGGCCCUUAUGACGACUCCAGUUCGUGUGCGUUCCUGGGAGUGCGCGUGCGCCAUGAUUCGAAGUCAGCCUCCGUACCUUGAUCCACACUGCGUUGAAAGACUGGCACAUGCGGUUGUCAACACUGGUCCAGGGCUCCUACUCACGCUGUCAGGCUGCUGAGCCAUCUCACCGUUCCUCAUUUUUGUAUUUUUGAGAUACAGUUUUGCUAUUUUACCCACACUGGCUUUAAACUCGAAGAUUCUGCCUCCACUUUGAUGUCGCUAGAUUACAAAUAAGACCAUGUCACUAGGCAACUGAGGGUUUAAUAGAUUGCCCCUGUGUUAAGAGUGCUUAGCGCCGGGCAGCCGUAGCGCAGGCCUUAAUCCUAGCACUUGGGAGGCAGAGGCAGGAGGAUUUCUGAGUUCGAGGCCAGCCUGGUCUACAAAGUGAGUUCCAGGACUUCUAGGGCUACACAGAGAAACCCUGUCACAAAAAACCAAAAAAAAAAAAAAAAAAAGAGUCCUUAGCAUAGGAGGCCCUGGGUCAGACCCCCGUACCACAUACACAAAACAGGCAAAUUCCAGGCAAGGAUGAACAGAACAAAGCUCUCAAACUCCCAGGUCCGGAGCUCUUCAUAUCUGGUGUCCAUCUAUAGGGAUUUAUUGCUGCUAUCAGAGUUGGUGUCUGGCUUUUUUUCUUCCUAGGUUUUAGAGACCUACCUCACCAAAGUCUGAACUUGAGGAAAAAGUUCUAAAUGAACCCAUUUGUAGGAGACCUGAGGUGCUUCUGAUCUGGAAUACGCUCUAAAUGACACACCUGUUCUAACAGCGCCGCCAAGUGGUAGACAUGGUUAUGUCUGUGCAUCACAUAUGUGCCAGGGUCCGCAGAAAGUCAGAAGAGAGUGUUGAAUCUUCCAGAACUGGAGUUACUUCUGAGGCGCCUCCCCAGCCCCUGCAGACAGAUGUUAGUAAACUAUUUUUUCUUUCAGCCUUUCUCAGUGUCUGUCUGUCUGUCUGUCUGUCUCUUUCUCCGUGUGUGUGUGUGUGUGUGUGUGUGUGUGUGUGUGUGUGUGUGUGUAGCCACACGCUGUAUGAAGGUCAGAGACAUUUCUAUUUUUGUCUUUAUGUGAGAUCCCAAGGAUGAACUCAGGCUGAUUAUCUACACCCAGGUAAAGAGCAGAGCAUGGUAGUGUACAACUGUAACCCCAGGUUGGGGAAGGAGACACAGAGGAUCCCUUGGGUCUCAUUGGUUAGCCAACCUAGCAGAACAAGCUAGCUCUGGGAUUAGUGAGACAGACUGAAGAAGUAAUAAAGACAACUAGACGGGCA